GGUCCUUAGGUUGGGCCAUUAAUUUUAGGNUUGGGCCACUCUAANAGAAAACCGCCGGUUGNUAAGCCGGAAGGAAGGUGGGGAUGACGUCAAGUCCUCAUGGCCCUUACGCGCUGGGGCUACACACGUGCUACAAUGGCGGUGACAGUGGGCAGCAAUCUCGCAAGGGUGAGCUAAUCUCCAAAAGCCGUCUCAGUUCGGAUUGUUCUCUGCAACUCGAGAGCAUGAAGGCGGAAUCGCUAGUAAUCGCGGAUCAGCAUGCCGCGGUGAAUACGUUCCCAGGCCUUGUAUACACCGCCCGUGAAUCACUAGUGAAUUCG
Molecule: ribosomal RNA, 320 nt
Filed under: uncultured bacterium
Lineage: Bacteria
Description: bacterial SSU rRNA
Rfam family: Bacterial small subunit ribosomal RNA
Source: RNAcentral